RNAcentral lists this long non-coding RNA (369 nucleotides) under Olea europaea (common olive). RNAcentral's name for it is "long non-coding RNA (OEUR_LNC012320)". Lineage: Eukaryota; Viridiplantae; Streptophyta; Magnoliopsida; Lamiales; Oleaceae. The record is from RNAcentral.
CAAAACUUUUCAAUUACUCCAAAAUUGGCUUCAAAUGAAACAUCCCGAUGGUGGCCAUGAACAAGACCGAACCCAUUUCCUUCCUUUGAGAAUUACGUUCAAGAAUCGUUGAGAAAGCCAGUGGGUUCGCUUUGCAUACGUGUACUUAUUGUUUUUCGUUCAGAUGUUGUUUUGUGCUUUUUCUAUGUUUGGGUUCUUCUUUUGCCUUUCUUCAAAGCCACAAUCUCUGUGAUCAAAGUGGAAUAGGACAGUUAUAGGGUGGGUAUAUGUAUCCCGGUUGGAUAUGAUUGAAAUUUUUAGCGUAAAUUUUUGUGAAUUUUUUUUUUUUAAUUGCUCUGAAUCUGAAACAAAGUUCAGAAUUUUGUUCAA